GUGAAAAAUCUAAAAACAAUGAGGAAAGAAACACUGUCAACAAGGACACUUCUGUUAUCCAUUUAGUGACCUGAAGGUUGAAAAAGCAAUGAUUAUAGGAGGAUAAUUUUUUUCUUGCAUAAGCAUAAAGUGCCAAAAAAUUACUAAAAUAGUGAGAUUACUUCCCCUUUCAUCCAUAAGUUUGUAAAUAUACCAUGUUCUUAUAAAUUGGUGUGCCUUCAAAUCUAGAGGAAAAAGAGUUCAAACAAUUGCAGGAAAAAUAAUGAGGAGAUUACUUCACAUUUCGUCCAUUAUCAUACAGAUAACAUAUUCUUGUAAGUGGGUCCUCCUUUAAAUCUAGAUAAAAACGCUGUGUCAAAUUUUACCUUUUCAGGAGCAAAACAGAAAGACACUUGAAUCAAAAGGCAAAAUUGUGGUUUCGUGGAGGAGAGGAGUCCACAAAAUUAUUUCUAUGAUUUUGGUUUGAAGUCUCUAUUGAUCAUCUCGAAGCCACCAAUCCUGCAAAUCAUGAAUUUUUAACCAGAAUAUAAAGGUAUGAUUAGUAAUAAAAAAAAAUAUUGCUUCUCUCAGAAAAACAAGCAAACAACAAAAUAUACAUUGCAACUUAGGCAUUUUACUCCUGCAAGCACUAUCAAGGAUUUUCAAGCAUGCAUAUCUACUGAGGCCCAUCUCUCAAACCUAAUUCGUGAUAGAGGGUACAAGACCCUAAUACGCUGUGAACUGGCUCAUAUGGGGAUGAUAAUAAUUUGGAUGAACGACUUCUAAAGAGUUUAUUGAAUAAAUAUUUUAGCCAUCUAGCACUCUUUCUGAAUAAAGCUUGCCAAGAGUUGACACUAAAAAAUAUGCAUUUAAAACCUUGGUUUUGCUAAUCAAAACUUCCAGAGCUUUCAGUUACCAGCUCAUAUGCAUAACAAUUAAUUUGGAAAUUGAAAGCAGGACUAGUGAAAGCUCUUCUUUUUUUAAGCCUUUACUUGAUCACUCAAGAACCAAGCCUUGUAGAAAUCUCAUAGUAGACUGAGUAGCAGUGCUCCUGUGAAGAUGUAAGGCAUAGUAGGACGAAGCCACUUUAAUUAUCUUAUUCUGUUUUCAAGCAUGUUGGAGUCUCAUUCUUCUAUUUAUCAUUACUUCUCCCAACUAGCCAUUUGCAGUGCUUCCACUUUUAAUCAUAAAUCAUUUUGUUAUAGAUCCAACCAAGUUUUAUGAUCAAAACUAUCCCCUCAUUUUCCUUGAGAUAGAUUACCCUUCCAGACGAACUAAUAUGUUCGAAAACUAGCUUGUUUUUUAUGUGAAGCCCCUUAUAAAGAAACCUUGGUAAUCUUGGUACUACAUAAUUUAGGGGAAGAAGGUUCUUUGAUUAGAGGACAUAUGUAUAUGUGUGAGUGUGUGUUUCUGUGUAGGGUUGAAGACAAGAAUAGGAUACAAAACGAAGUUUAGAAGAAGUACAAGAUAAGUUUGCUUUAUCAUCUUAAAUUUUGGAGUGAUGCAAGACUAAUAGUAGUUAAACUAAUAAUGUGGAUAGUUUAAAAAUAGAGAAAAUUCAGGUAAUAAACAGAAUAAUCAAAAUACAUUACAUAGGAAAUUAGAG
This 1585-nucleotide long non-coding RNA is filed under the name Carica papaya (papaya). RNAcentral's name for it is "long non-coding RNA (CPAP_LNC015911)". The record is from RNAcentral. Lineage: Eukaryota; Viridiplantae; Streptophyta; Magnoliopsida; Brassicales; Caricaceae.